This is a long non-coding RNA of Dermochelys coriacea (leatherback sea turtle), 348 nucleotides long. RefSeq lists it as uncharacterized. The transcript is spliced from 3 exons. The record is from RefSeq and is a predicted model, not a curated record. Lineage: Eukaryota; Metazoa; Chordata; Testudines; Dermochelyidae.
UUUAUCUUCCCCUGCAGCAAUGGUCUGCACAUGGGGUCACUUGCAGGUUUAAACUAAUGUAAAUGGUGGAUUCUCUGUAACCUGAAAUCUUUAAGUCAUGAUUUGAUGACUACAGUAACUAAGACAGAGGUUAGGGGUCUAUUACACAAAUGGGUGUGUUAGGUUCUGUGGCUUGCAAUGUGCAGGGCAUCAGAUUAGAUGAUCAUGAUGGUCUCUUCUGGCUUUAAAGUCUAUGAGUCUACACCAGCUAAUGAUCUGCCCAAAGAAAUUAAACAAAGAAAACUACCUUAUGGUCCAGUGUCACAAAGUCAAGGCUGGCAAUUUAAUCUUAUGAAUAUAGAAAUUCAA